RNAcentral lists this ribosomal RNA (303 nucleotides) under uncultured bacterium. Its description in RNAcentral is "bacterial SSU rRNA". It matches the Rfam family "Bacterial small subunit ribosomal RNA", at positions 28 to 334 of the family's 1533-position model. The record is from RNAcentral.
GACGAACGCUGGCGGCGUGCUUAACACAUGCAAGUCGAGCGGUAAGGCCCUUUCGGGGUACACGAGCGGCGAACGGGUGAGUAACACGUGAGCAAUCUGCCCUUCACUUCGGGAUAACCUCCGGAAACGGUGGCUAAUACCGGAUAGGAGCUCCUGCUGCAUGGUGGGGGUUGGAAAGUUUCGGCGGUUGGGGAUGGACUCGCGGCUUAUCAGCUUGUUGGUGGGGUAGUGGCUUACCAAGGCUUUGACGGGUAGCCGGCCUGAGAGGGUGACCGGCCACAUUGGGACUGAGAUACGGCCCAG